RNAcentral lists this transfer RNA (75 nucleotides) under Rickettsiales bacterium. Its description in RNAcentral is "tRNA-Gly". It matches the Rfam family "tRNA". Rfam says of the family: Transfer RNA (tRNA) molecules are approximately 80 nucleotides in length. Their secondary structure includes four short double-helical elements and three loops (D, anti-codon, and T loops). Lineage: Bacteria; Pseudomonadati; Pseudomonadota; Alphaproteobacteria; Rickettsiales. The record is from RNAcentral.
GCGGGCGUCGUAUAACGGCUAAUAUAAGUGCCUUCCAAGCACUGGAUGCGGUUUCGAUUACCGCCGCCCGCACCA